RNAcentral lists this RNase P RNA (226 nucleotides) under Paramuribaculum sp. RNAcentral describes it as "partial RNase P RNA component class A". It matches the Rfam family "Bacterial RNase P class A", at positions 1 to 238 of the family's 367-position model. Rfam says of the family: Ribonuclease P (RNase P) is a ubiquitous endoribonuclease, found in archaea, bacteria and eukarya as well as chloroplasts and mitochondria. The record is from RNAcentral. Lineage: Bacteria; Pseudomonadati; Bacteroidota; Bacteroidia; Bacteroidales; Muribaculaceae.
ACAGUCGGGCGUUUCGUCGCUCGCCGAUGAACAAGCGGCGUGAGGAAAGUCCGGGCAACAUAGAGCACCACACUUUCUAACGGAAAGCUGCGGGUGACCGCAGAGUAGUGUGACAGAAAAGAACCGCCACAUCAGUGGUAAGGGUGAAAAGGCGGGGUAUGAGCCGACCGGGCUUCAUUGUGACAUGUGGUGCGGCUCAUCUUUGGGUUGCAAGGCCAUGUAUAGC